UAGGGAAUCUUCCGCAAUGGGCGAAAGCCUGACGGAGCAACGCCGCGUGAGUGAUGAAGGUCUUCGGAUCGUAAAACUCUGUUAUAGGGAAAAACAAAUGUGUAAGUAACUAUGGACGUUUUGACGGUAACUAAACAGAAAGCCACGGGUAACUACGGGCCAGCAGCCGCGGUAAUACGUAGGUGGCAAGCGUUAUCCGGAAUUAUUGGGCGUAAAGCGCGCGUAGGCGGUUUUUUAAGUCUGAUGUGAAAGCCCACGGCUCAACCGUGGAGGGUCAUUGGAAACUGGAAAACUUGAGUGCAGAAGAGGAAAGUGGAAUUCCAUGUGUAGCAGUGAAAUGCGCAGAGAUAUGGAGGAACACCAGUGGCGAAGGCGACUUUCUGGUCUGUAACUGACGCUGAUGUGCGAAAGCGUGGGGAUCAAACAGG
Molecule: ribosomal RNA, 428 nt
Filed under: Actinomycetes bacterium
Lineage: Bacteria; Bacillati; Actinomycetota; Actinomycetes
Description: Actinobacteria bacterium partial 16S ribosomal RNA
Rfam family: Bacterial small subunit ribosomal RNA
Source: RNAcentral